CUUUAUCAAGUCUUUAGGAAUUACAGAAAUACUCAGAGAUAAACUGUUAAUAUCUUUAGUAUGGAGUUUGGGCUUUUAUUAUCAAUUGUUCCUUGACUGGGUAUUAAAUAUGCGGGUUAUUGGACAGCUGUCAGUAUGUAAUUGCACUCGUACUUUUGGUUUGGUUAGCUUCUCAAGUCCGUUCUGUUUUACUCUGCAAGUUGGAGUAGGAAGUGGAACUAUUUUUCUCAUGUAUUCUUGCACAAUGAAUUGCUGUCUGCAACGAGUGGACGAUUCAGCCUGAACAGAAAUUGCCCAGAGUUGCUGUUUCUUUGGGUUGCUUCUUCAUCAUAAAAACAGGGAUAUUUCCUCUGAGGUAGAUUUCUUUAUAUUUUAACUAUAACUAGCAACAUUUUUUCCC
Molecule: unclassified non-coding RNA, 400 nt
Filed under: Hevea brasiliensis (rubber tree)
Lineage: Eukaryota; Viridiplantae; Streptophyta; Magnoliopsida; Malpighiales; Euphorbiaceae
Source: RNAcentral